GACGAACGCUGGCGGCGUGCUUAACACAUGCAAGUCGAACGGAAAGGCCCUGCUUGCAGGGCACUCGAGUGGCGAACGGGUGAGUAACACGUGGGUGAUCUGCCCUGCACUUCGGGAUAAGCCUGGGAAACUGGGUCUAAUACCGGAUAGGAGCCAUUUUUAGUGUGAUGGUUGGAAAGUUUUUUCGGUGUAGGAUGAGCUCGCGGCCUAUCAGCUUGUUGGUGGGGUAAUGGCCUACCAAGGCGGCGACGGGUAGCCGGCCUGAGAGGGUGGACGGCCACAUUGGGACUGAGAUACGGCCCAGACUCCUACGGGAGGCAGCAGUGGGGAAUAUUGCACAAUGGGCGCAAGCCUGAUGCAGCGACGCCGCGUGGGGGAUGACGGCCUUCGGGUUGGAAACUCCUUUCGCUAGGGACGAAGCUUUUUGUGACGGUACCUAGAUAAGAAGCACCGGCUAACUACGUG
This 465-nucleotide ribosomal RNA is filed under the name uncultured bacterium. RNAcentral's name for it is "partial 16S ribosomal RNA". It matches the Rfam family "Bacterial small subunit ribosomal RNA", at positions 28 to 507 of the family's 1533-position model. The record is from RNAcentral.